Dermacentor silvarum is the source of this 537-nucleotide long non-coding RNA. RefSeq lists it as uncharacterized. The record is from RefSeq and is a predicted model, not a curated record. The transcript is spliced from 3 exons. Lineage: Eukaryota; Metazoa; Arthropoda; Arachnida; Ixodida; Ixodidae.
GAUCGUGUGUUUUUAGGCUUGUUUUAUGAAAUGCGGUGUAGUUCGCGUGCACGAAAGUGGCGGAAGAUAACCUGCGUCUCGCUGCAAACUCGCCGUAUGCGUGACGCGCCAGGCAAAUGCGGACCAACGAUUUUCAUGCCGUGGAGUGUGUUGCCUUUGUCCCUUUGUCCAUUUGUCUUUGGUGGUCGUGGAACGUUUUAUGGACUUCGCAAUGAAAUAAUGCCUAUUAUUAGUGUGCCUCAGCUCGUCCAUUACGUGACGGCAUGUAUGCUGGGAUCAACAUCGUCGACGCAGCACUGGCAACUCGGAGAGCUCUUUUCGAUCUCGUCGUACUGUUCAAAAGUGGUGAGGCCGUGGCCCGCAACAGUGUCCACUAAAAGGAGGAGCCCCCAGAAAUGCGGACCCCAUAUGAGUGCCUGCAGCAGCCCGGCUGGAUGGUCAUGUCAGAACAAUGAAAUUACUUCAAGCACCCAAAUGGAGAAAAAAGGUCUAAUCAGAGGGCUCGCAUUCUUACAAGCUUGACAACAGAGCGCCACC